GCCUUCUUAGCUCAGUUGGUUAGAGCGACUGCCUUGUAAGCAGUAGGUCGUGCGUUCGAAUCGUACAGUCGGCACCAUUC
This 80-nucleotide transfer RNA is filed under the name Bacillus phage BCP8-2. Its description in RNAcentral is "tRNA-Thr". It matches the Rfam family "tRNA". From Rfam's summary of the family: Transfer RNA (tRNA) molecules are approximately 80 nucleotides in length. Lineage: Duplodnaviria; Heunggongvirae; Uroviricota; Caudoviricetes; Herelleviridae. The record is from RNAcentral.